RNAcentral lists this ribosomal RNA (253 nucleotides) under uncultured bacterium. RNAcentral describes it as "partial 16S ribosomal RNA". It matches the Rfam family "Bacterial small subunit ribosomal RNA", at positions 524 to 776 of the family's 1533-position model. The record is from RNAcentral.
UACGUAGGGGGCAAGCGUUGUCCGGAAUCAUUGGGCGUAAAGCGCGUGUAGGCGACUCGAUAAGUCUGCUGUGAAAGUCCAGGGCUCAACCCUGGGAUGCCGGUGGAUACUGUCGAGCUCGAGUCCGGAAGAGGCGAGUGGAAUUCCUGGUGUAGCGGUGAAAUGCGCAGAUAUCAGGAGGAACACCAAUGGCGAAGGCAGCUCGCUGGGACGUGACUGACGCUGAGACGCGAAAGCGUGGGGAGCAAACAGG